GGGUCAGGUCUGUGCUCAGUGUGUUAUGGACGUUGUAGUGUGGGGGGCUGCGGUCAGUCCACACUGUGGUUCGGCAGCCGGGGUCAUAGUGGGGGGCACUGUGCCAAUGGUGGCCUGGAGCCGCUGACUCUCACAGACAGGGUGGUGAGGACAGCACUAGACACCCCCCCCCCCUCACUCCACAACCCCCAGAGAGGGCAAGAGGGCAGUCAGUGACCCCUGAUCCCCCCCAGAGAGGGCAGUCAGUGACCCCUGAUCCCCCCCAGAGAGGGCAGUCCCUCGGCUGUGCCUGUAACACUGGGCCUGUCGUACCAGAGGUGGGUUGGUCUCGCUGAGGCACUUUCACCCCUGGCUGAGGGUUAUUGGGGGG
This is a long non-coding RNA of Amblyraja radiata (thorny skate), 370 nucleotides long. RefSeq lists it as uncharacterized. The record is from RefSeq and is a predicted model, not a curated record. The transcript has 2 exons. Lineage: Eukaryota; Metazoa; Chordata; Chondrichthyes; Rajiformes; Rajidae.